GACGAACGCUGGCGGCGUGCUUAACACAUGCAAGUCGAACGGAAAGGCCUCUUUCGGGGGGUACUCGAGUGGCGAACGGGUGAGUAACACGUGAGUAACCUGCCCUUGACUUUGGGAUAACUUCAGGAAACUGGGGCUAAUACCGGAUAGGAGCUCCUGCUGCAUGGUGGGGGUUGGAAAGUUUCGGCGGUUGGGGGUGGACUCGCGGCGUAUCCGCUUGUUGGUGGGGUAGUGGCUUACCAAGGCUUUGACGGGUAGCCGGCCUGAGAGGGUGACCGGCCACAUUGGGACUGAGAUACGGCCCAGACUCCUACGGGAGGCAGCAGUGGGGAAUAUUGCACAAUGGGUGGAAGCCUGAUGCAGCAACGCCGUGUGCGGGAUGACGGCCUUCGGGUUGUAAACCGCUUUCGCUCAUGACGAAGCUUUGUGUGACGGUAGUGGGUAAAGAAGCACCGGCUAACUACGUG
RNAcentral lists this ribosomal RNA (467 nucleotides) under uncultured bacterium. RNAcentral describes it as "partial 16S ribosomal RNA". It matches the Rfam family "Bacterial small subunit ribosomal RNA", at positions 28 to 507 of the family's 1533-position model. The record is from RNAcentral.